RNAcentral lists this small nuclear RNA (21 nucleotides) under Arabidopsis thaliana (thale cress). Its description in RNAcentral is "snRNA_17563". Lineage: Eukaryota; Viridiplantae; Streptophyta; Magnoliopsida; Brassicales; Brassicaceae. The record is from RNAcentral.
UUCAGCCCUUUGUCGCUAAGA